GGGCGUGUGGUCUAGUGGUAAAGACGUUCGCCGCGGAAGCUGAAGACCCGGGUUCGAUUCCCGGCUCGGCCA
This 72-nucleotide transfer RNA is filed under the name Leguminivora glycinivorella. Its description in RNAcentral is "tRNA-Pro". It matches the Rfam family "tRNA". From Rfam's summary of the family: Transfer RNA (tRNA) molecules are approximately 80 nucleotides in length. Their secondary structure includes four short double-helical elements and three loops (D, anti-codon, and T loops). Further hydrogen bonds mediate the characteristic L-shaped molecular structure. tRNAs have two regions of fundamental functional importance: the anti-codon, which is responsible for specific mRNA codon recognition, and the 3' end, to which the tRNAs corresponding amino acid is attached (by aminoacyl-tRNA synthetases). tRNAs cope with the degeneracy of the genetic code in two manners: having more than one tRNA (with a specific anti-codon) for a particular amino acid; and 'wobble' base-pairing, i.e. permitting non-standard base-pairing at the 3rd anti-codon position. Lineage: Eukaryota; Metazoa; Arthropoda; Insecta; Lepidoptera; Tortricidae. The record is from RNAcentral.